This 88-nucleotide transfer RNA is filed under the name Deltaproteobacteria bacterium. Its description in RNAcentral is "tRNA-Leu". It matches the Rfam family "tRNA". Rfam says of the family: Transfer RNA (tRNA) molecules are approximately 80 nucleotides in length. Their secondary structure includes four short double-helical elements and three loops (D, anti-codon, and T loops). The record is from RNAcentral. Lineage: Bacteria; Pseudomonadati; Myxococcota; Myxococcia. RNAcentral also lists the same sequence under 1 other name.
GCCGGAGUGGUGAAACUGGUAGACGCAGGGGACUCAAAAUCCCCCGGAGCUUGCCUCCAUGUCGGUUCGAUUCCGACCUCCGGCACCA